Molecule: ribosomal RNA, 207 nt
Filed under: uncultured bacterium
Lineage: Bacteria
Description: partial 16S ribosomal RNA
Rfam family: Bacterial small subunit ribosomal RNA
Source: RNAcentral
CGCGUAGGCGGCCAUCUUUGUCAGGCGUGAAAGCCCCGGGCUCAACCUGGGAAUUGCGCUUGGGACGGGGUGGCUUGAGUUCGGGAGAGGAGAGUGGAAUUCCCAGUGUAGAGGUGAAAUUCGUAGAUAUUGGGAAGAACACCGGUGGCGAAGGCGGCUCUCUGGACCGAUACUGACGCUGAGGCGCGAAAGCGUGGGGAGCAAACA